Molecule: ribosomal RNA, 497 nt
Filed under: uncultured bacterium
Lineage: Bacteria
Description: partial 16S ribosomal RNA
Rfam family: Bacterial small subunit ribosomal RNA
Source: RNAcentral
GACGAACGCUGGCGGCGUGCCUAAUACAUGCAAGUUGAGCGCUGAAGGUUGGUACUUGUACCGACUGGAUGAGCAGCGAACGGGUGAGUAACGCGUGGGGAAUCUGCCUUUGAGCGGGGGACAACAUUUGGAAACGAAUGCUAAUACCGCAUAAAAACUUUAAACACAAGUUUUAAGUUUGAAAGAUGCAAUUGCAUCACUCAAAGAUGAUCCCGCGUUGUAUUAGCUAGUUGGUGAGGUAAAGGCUCACCAAGGCGAUGAUACAUAGCCGACCUGAGAGGGUGAUCGGCCACAUUGGGACUGAGACACGGCCCAAACUCCUACGGGAGGCAGCAGUAGGGAAUCUUCGGCAAUAGACGAAAGUCUGACCGAGCAACGCCGCGUGAGUGAAGAAGGUUUUCGGAUCGUAAAACUCUGUUGGUAGAGAAGAACGUUGGUGAGAGUGGAAAGCUCAUCAAGUGACGGUAACUACCCAGAAAGGGACGGCUAACUACAUG